Molecule: ribosomal RNA, 253 nt
Filed under: uncultured bacterium
Lineage: Bacteria
Description: partial 16S ribosomal RNA
Rfam family: Bacterial small subunit ribosomal RNA
Source: RNAcentral
UACGAAGGGAGCAAGCGUUGUUCGGAAUAACUGGGCGUAAAGGGCGCGUAGGCGGCCUGAUAAGUCAGAUGUGAAAGCCCUGGGCUUAACCUAGGAAUAGCAUUUGAUACUGUUGGGCUAGAGUGUUGAAGGGGAUGAUGGAAUUAUGCAUGGAGAGGUGGAAUUCAUAGAUAUGCAUAGGAACACCGGUGGCGAAGGCGAUCAUCUGGACAACAACUGACGCUGAGGCGCGAAAGCGUGGGGAGCAAACAGG